GACGAACGCUGGCGGCGUGCUUAACACAUGCAAGUCGAACGGAAAGGCCCUGCUUUUGUGGGGUGCUCGGGUGGCGAACGGGUGAGUAACACGUGAGUAACCUGCCCUUGACUUUGGGAUAACUUCAGGAAACUGGGUCUCAUAGCGUAUAGGAGCUCCGGCUGCAUGGUGGGGGUUGGAAAGUUUCGGCGGUUGGGGAUGGACUCGCGGCUUAUCAGCUUGUUGGUGGGGUAGUGGCUUACCAAGGCUUUGACGGGUAGCCGGCCUGAGAGGGUGACCGGCCACAUGGGGACUGAGAUACGGCCCAGACUCCGACGGGAGGCAGCAGUGGGGAAUAUUGCACAAUGGGCGGAAGCCUGAUGCAGCAACGCCGCGUGCGGGAUGACGGCCUUCGGGUUGUAAACCGCUUUCGCCUGUGACGAAGCGUGAGUGACGGUAAUGGGUAAAGAAGCACCGGCUAACUACGUG
Molecule: ribosomal RNA, 468 nt
Filed under: uncultured bacterium
Lineage: Bacteria
Description: partial 16S ribosomal RNA
Rfam family: Bacterial small subunit ribosomal RNA
Source: RNAcentral